CGUUAAUGACAGUUUUAUUCAAUCCUUAUCCAUGCUUGGGGGGCACUGCUUGGUGUGGUGGUUCAAUCUUGGUGCAGUGGUUCAAGUUCUUGGCCUGCAACAGGGUAUUGAGUGAACUGUUUAAUGAAAAAUGCAAAAAUAUGGAAGGGUAGGACUCAAGAGGUCUUCAAAUAGACAAAGGAAAACUUAUGAUGGUUAAAAUACAAGGAAGAUGAGUAGAAUACCUUUUUAUUCUCCAAAAGAAAAUAUUCUAGAAAUGUCCAAGUCCAAAUUCUCCUAGCCCCUAGGAGGUUAAUUUAUAAGGAAAGAUCAGUUUUCUUGUUACCAGGGCUUUUGGAAAACCUGAACCUUCUGAAAAAAACAGAAUGUAAGAAGUUGGAAACCAUGAAAUUAGUAAAAGCACUGCUUUGUAGAGAGUAGAGAUUCUAUAGAUAUAAGGAUUAACAUUAGGAUAGGAAGUAUCUCCUUGUUAUAUAUCUUUCCACAAAUGAAUAUAAGAACCAUUUUUAACUUUAUAUUUAGAAAAGCACGAAAAAAAAGAGUAAGGUACCCAACAAAUGAACUUCCAAAGGUUUGUGUGAGUGAAAUUAGCUCCUCUUUUGGCAUCCCAUCCAUUUUCUCAUGAGCAAUGCGUAGUUGCUUACUCUAAUUUGCCAAGUGAAAGCAUCAUAACCACUUUCCAACCACAUCAAUCAUCAGUGUAACGAUUUUCACAGAAACCAAUCCCCUUUGAGUUUUAGGUUUGGACACUAUUUUCUAGAAUCAAAUAUGUGGUUUCAACUUGAACCUUCUGAUUUCACUGACUAUUUCUUGUACUCAAAAUUUUCACUCAAAUGUAAAAUCUAUACCUUUCUGUUAUGACUAAUGAGAAUAAGGGUGUUGAAAAUAAA
RNAcentral lists this unclassified non-coding RNA (890 nucleotides) under Hevea brasiliensis (rubber tree). The record is from RNAcentral. Lineage: Eukaryota; Viridiplantae; Streptophyta; Magnoliopsida; Malpighiales; Euphorbiaceae.